GAACCAGAUAAAAGUAAAGCAGCAUCCUUAUACACAAAGGAAAUAAUUUGCCAACAUGAGAUGAGAAAGCCCCUCUUGAUGACCAUGGAUUUGAGGAUGGACAAGGAAGAUCAAGACAGAACUUGUUGCAUUCUACAAACAAAACGGCAUAGAAUGGGCAAGCCCUGUGAAGUGCAGACUCCAAGGUGGUAUUAAACAAGUAAAUACAUUUAUUUAGUGGCAUUCCUAGUUAGGUUUUAAUGGCCAUGUCUCUCUCUCUCUCUUUUUUUAUUUAUUUUUUUGGACUGUUGCUGUAAAUUGCUGUUACAUUCAGGGGAUGCUGCCAUUGGUGAGGGAGUAACCAGACAUUUCUUGUCUACUGUUAUACAGAGGCUUCAGCAUGGAUUUAAUUUUAACAUGGGAAAUACUGCAAGGACCUGUCUCUUUGACGGUGAACCAGGUCAUCUUGUUCCAUCAUCAUCACAAUUUCUCGUAGAGAGUGAUCUGUUCCUUGUUGCAGGACGAAUGAUUGGACAUUCUUUCCUACAUGGUGGACCUCGGCUGGCUGGAGUCAGCCAAGCAAUAGUCCAUGUACUACUAGGAGGUUCACCUGAGACUGCUACAGUGCAAAUAGAAGACUGUCCUGACCAUGAUAUUCGUGAUAUUCGUGAACUGGUAUUUACAUUAUACAUACAUACAGUAGCAUAAUUUAGCUGUAAUUUAAACAAUUCAAACAAUUCAUCUUUUUUUUUUUUUUUUACUUUCAUUUAUACUGUUCUACAUGGAGCUUGAUGGAGAGGCUGAACUCACUAGCAGUGAAUAUCAAGCUGUCCUUGACCUGAGUCUUGCGUGGGAUCUUCCUGGCCCAACCAAAGAAAACCGGAAGUGGCUUUUUGAGCGCCUUUUAUCAUAUGCGGUAGUGUUGUUGUUGUUUUUUUUCUUUUGUUUAAUUA
RNAcentral lists this long non-coding RNA (932 nucleotides) under Sinocyclocheilus anshuiensis. Its description in RNAcentral is "lncRNA (ENSSANG00000040122.1)". Lineage: Eukaryota; Metazoa; Chordata; Actinopteri; Cypriniformes; Cyprinidae. The record is from RNAcentral.